Molecule: ribosomal RNA, 489 nt
Filed under: uncultured bacterium
Lineage: Bacteria
Description: partial 16S ribosomal RNA
Rfam family: Bacterial small subunit ribosomal RNA
Source: RNAcentral
UUGAACGCUGGCGGCAGGCCUAACACAUGCAAGUCGAACGGUAACAGGAAGAAGCUUGCUUCUUUGCUGACGCGUGGCGGACGGGUGAGUAAUGUCUGGGAAACUGCCUGAUGGAGGGGGAUAACUACUGGAAACGGUAGCUAAUACCGCAUAACGUCGCAAGACCAAAGAGGGGGACCUUCGGGCCUCUUGCCAUCGGAUGUGCCCAGAUGGGAUUAGCUAGUAGGUGGGGUAACGGCUCACCUAGGCGACGAUCCCUAGCUGGUCUGAGAGGAUGACCAGCCACACUGGAACUGAGACACGGUCCAGACUCCUACGGGAGGCAGCAGUGGGGAAUAUUGCACAAUGGGCGCAAGCCUGAUGCAGCCAUGCCGCGUGUAUGAAGAAGGCCUUCGGGUUGUAAAGUACUUUCAGCGGGGAGGAAGGGAGUAAAGUUAAUACCUUUGCUCAUUGACGUUACCCGCAGAAGAAGCACCGGCUAACUCCGUG